AAUUGUCUCCCUUUCGCUGCCUGCUUCGAUUCAAUGUAUGCUGUGAUUAGUGGAUAGUACUCCAAAUCUAAAAUCCCAUGUCUUUGCUAACUCAUCUAGCCCUUUGGUCAGUUUUAUGCUGUCUGUAUCUAUCUUCUUAUGUCACGUAUAUUAAAAUUCAUUCCCAGGUUAUAGUUAUUGCUAGAUUAGCUAUAUGGUUGAUGCAUUAAAAAUAUAUACUGCACAAGCCUGGUUAGUCCCAGUGGGUCCUUGCCCAGAUUGUCAUGUAUUUAUGGCAGAGCCAUGCUUGUCUUCUCAUGUCACUGCAAUUCUUGCAGAAACAUAUCCUCUUCUAUUCUUCUCUUUCUACCUUUCAAGAAUUUCCUUGCUGAGUGUUCGUUGUUCUGGGCUCUUUUUAUGCAGGUUAAUCUGCAGGUGAAACUCACUUCUCAGUUUCUGUUCUCUUGUUUACCUAAUCGGCUCAAUUCUCUGACUAGAUAUGUAGGCUUCUUGAUUUCUUGGAGUUUACAGGCUAUCCUGCAAAUUUGUUCACUCUGUAUUUCAGUGUUCAGGAUGAAAACGGACAUUCUUGUUCCAUCAAUUUUUGUUGUUCAAACAUGAGAAUUCUUCAAUCAGUUUUCUUUUUACCAUACACUCUUCAGUCAUUCUGAUGUCUUGGCUUUGUAUGAAUCUGCAAACUUGGCUGCAAAUUACUACUCUUUAUUUUUGUAGCUCUCAUAGAAAGAGUGAAGUUACUGACUUUUUAGUGUCACCAUGCAAUACCUGCUUGGUCUCUUGAAACCUACUGAUUAAUUUCUUUCUCAGGUAGCUACCAAUAUUUUGUUUUGUAUGUCUAAAGAUCUCAAUUCCGAAUGUGAGAGGCUAUAAAUAAUAGCAAUGGGUUGCUUCUCUGUGUCCCGGAGGAAGAAGAAUUCCAUAAGCCAGAUUGUGCAGCAUGACCAAGACAUCCUGAUCACUGGCAACGUGAAAAUCUACUCGUUCAAGGAGCUAAGAAAAGCCACAAGAAAAUAUUGACUUCUGCCUGCAGCUACAAUUAUGAGAAAAAAUCUUGAACUAUCGACGAUGUGUUGUGAAGUCCCAGACUUGUCCGCCUCCAAGGAUCUAACACGAACGCAGUGUGCAGAGCACCUCCGUCGAGAUUCCGGCAGCAGGACGUCAUGUUGCAGACUUCCAGGCGCCGAGGUAGAUUUCUAACUGGUUCAGUGUGGUUUCCAAUUGUUGUAAGACUGUACCAGCUGUUGUUCAUUCGUUUGGGCUCUUGGAUAAGAUGGAUUCAGGAAAUCGUUAUCUUCUUGGUAUUUAUUUUUGUUGACUACUAAUUCAAGUUUGCAGUAAAGAGUGGGUCGAGAAGUGUAGAUCCCAUAGUUUUCUGCUGAAGGAUGCUUGUUCUUCAUAUAAGAACUAGAUGUUGUUUGUUGGCUGAGAGAUACCUGUUCAGAUAACUAGAGCUUUAAUUCCAUUUUGCUAAUAAACUAAUUGAUGACUUUUCUUUGUGAGUAUGACUAGAUGAGUUCCUGUUCCGUAUUCAGAUAUGCAACUUAUUUUUGUUCAGAGAUGUAAAUGUUCACAUAUGCAUGCUUCUUAGUUGUUAGUGCCUGAUAUGGAUUCAUCCGAAAGAUGCUGAAUUGCUGAUCUGAUUUGCUAAUCCAAUUUUGGUGCUAGGUGAAGACCUGCUUUGAUUUGAUAGCCUGAUAUGACUUAAUAUGUUUUGAUCGAUGUACUUUCCUGAUUAUUCUAGAUGUUCUGAACCUUUGGCCCCUCUAUAGUCUAUACAUUUUGUUUCGUAAAUAUUGAUACUAGUUUGCCUGAUCAAUGCCUUGUUCUAUGUGAAAUGUGGUAUGCCCGAUUGGUUUCGUCUUUCGUGUUUAAUCCCUGGUGUUGUGAGUUGCUUUCUCUUGCACUUCUGCUGAUUUAGACUGAUUGUUGACAAAUUCCUAAGUCUGCAGCCAGUUCGUGCACCUGAGUAUACCCUGUCUAUGAGGUUUGUUGCAACACUAUUCCAAUCUACUUAAUAAUAAUUUUGCUCUUAUGUAAUAUACGUACAGGUUGUCUUUAAUCUGCAUUCCUAUACUAAUAAUUCUUAACUCUUAUGCAGAUUGCAAUAUGCAUGCUGGUAACCUGCACGUGAGAUGGUUGAUUGGCUAGAUAGUUUCUGAUUUCCUUUUUGUUUAUUGUUCUGCCAAAUUGUAAAAAUAGGAGCAAAAUGCAUUGAGUUUUUAUGAACUCUUAUCGUGUGCUCGGUUUAAAUAUGGUGAAUGGAAUUGCAAAAUGUACUCAGUUUUAGAUUGAAAUUGAGAUCAAUCUAUCACAAAAUCACAUUCAAUUUGUAUUUUCA
Molecule: long non-coding RNA, 2335 nt
Organism: Panicum virgatum (switchgrass)
Lineage: Eukaryota; Viridiplantae; Streptophyta; Magnoliopsida; Poales; Poaceae
Exons: 2
Source: RefSeq, a predicted model, not a curated record